AGCCGAUUGUAAGCAGGCCCUGGCCUCCGACCGACCGAUCUAACAGCGCCGCUGAACGACGACGGCGGCUAGGGUUACCAGAAUGUCUGCAGGAGUCGGAAGUUUUCUGCAGAGGGGAUUUGGUUCGACACGGCAGCGGCGACGGUGGAGUUUAGGGUUCCGAUGACCCUUUUAGUACUCCGACGAGAAGCUCCAAGCCUAAAUGUCAUUUUCUCAGCUGCAAGUUAGGCGACACACAACCCUCCGACGAAGAUCCGACGAAGUUCAGAAAUUGAGGAAGGCAUGUCAAAAUUCACUGGUUGAAGCCUUGCAAAAGAUCCAAGAAGGUGUUUGUUGGUAGGAGACCGGACAUAUGUUGAGCUCUAUGAAGACCCAUAUGUUGAAGUCGAACCCAUUGUUAGACUGGUUUAUAACCCACAAUUAUGGGAGCAUAACUUAAAAAGAUGAAGAAAUGGAUGCAUCUGUAGCUUUCGGACCACUCACAAUCCUCACAUGUCGGCUUUACGGCGUGCUCUUUUUCUGUUUCCAAUUUUGGAUGUUCAGGUUUGUUCUUCGAUUUUGAGCUUUACGGCGUGAAUUUGAUUUUAUUAUUGGGUUUCUAUAUGAUUUUGACUUCAAUUGCAUGGUUUUGCUGGAAUGGAUUUGUAAUUUAGCCUCAGAUUGAUAAUUUUUUUUGUUCUUUACUCAUCUUUUUUUUUUUAUCUUAUUGGUGUUCUAUUUGUUAUAUUAGGGUUCCAGCGAACUGAUUCAAGGUGUGUGUAUGUAAUCUGAGUAGAUCAGUCUUACCUAGGACAACUGAGAGACACUAUGUGAGUCAUUUAUGACUUUAUAUCCUCCCGAUCAGAAUUCCGGCAAGCCCCUUUGGGCUUGCAUGUUUAGUAAACAGGAUGUGAGUUAAACUGUUGCUGGAAAUUAGAAGAAAAGCUUCCAGAGUAAAGUGUGUGUAUGUACUGUAUGCGACACCAAGAAGGGAGAAGGAGAGUUUGAUUUUCAUCUCUAAAAAAUUAAUUAACAAAGAAUGAAAUUAAUAGAUUAGGGUUCUUUUGUUAAAUUUGGGGAUUUUUAAAAUACACCAGAUUGUUGUGUUAACCAUGAAAAUAUGAGCUUAAAACAAUACCAUAUUGGUAAAUUAAAUCAAGUUUGGUGUAAAAGAACUAAUUAGAGAUGAAUAUGUUUAUAUGUUUUUUAAGAGGAUGCUAAGAUACAACCGAAUGCUUAAUUCCAUGACACAUGUGUACAAAGAAUGAUGAUUGUAAAUAAAUUGGUUUAUAAUAUAGUGUGUUUUGAUCUUUAAGAUCAUAUAUAGUGUGUUUGGGUAAUUUUAACCCGCUUCAAGUGUGUUUUGAUCUUUAAGAUACUGUGUUUGGGUAAUUUUGACCCGCUUCAAGUGUGUUUUGAUCUUUAUGAUCAUCUAUAGUGUGCCUGGGUAAUUUUGACCCGCUUAAAGUUUGUUUUGAUCUUUAAGAUCAUCUAUAGUGUGUUUGGGUAAUUUUGAAGAAACCAUUUGCUCCCUGAACUUUGCAAGUCGUGCGAGAGUUGUUAAGCAUGGGCCUGAGCGCAAACAAACAGAAAUCACUGAGCUCCUCAAGUAUAAGCAGCUGGCAGAGAAAGCAAAGCAUGGCGAGAAAGAAGCAGAAACAAUUGCAGGAAAGUUUACAAUCUGUGCAAAUAUGUCUCUCUCUGCUAGAGAAAACAAAGGUAGAACUCUGCAAGAAAAGUGGCGGUCAAAACGGGCCGGGUUUGAUCUACCUGCCAAAAAUAAAACAUUACUCUGAAUUUUUUGAAGUUCAACAAGUGAUAUUAAAAGGACUGAGGUAUUAUGUGUGGCGGAUGGGUUGCUUAAUGCUUUCGGCGUAGGAGCUUUUGAAGUUGGUUUGUCAGUUUUCUAUUUGCGAGGAUUUGUGUAUGAAUGUUGUUAGCCGUGGUUGAUAAUAGAUUGAUGAUUUGGUUUUAUUAUUGCUGGCUGGUUUGGAUUUUGUUUAAAUGUAUGUAAAACCGUGGCAAUGUAUGUUUCCGUUGGGGGUGUAGUAUAGCAUUUCAGAAAUAUUUA
This 2050-nucleotide long non-coding RNA is filed under the name Helianthus annuus (common sunflower). Lineage: Eukaryota; Viridiplantae; Streptophyta; Magnoliopsida; Asterales; Asteraceae. The record is from RNAcentral.